Molecule: long non-coding RNA, 264 nt
Filed under: Bos taurus (domestic cattle)
Lineage: Eukaryota; Metazoa; Chordata; Mammalia; Artiodactyla; Bovidae
Description: long non-coding RNA NONBTAT013877
Source: RNAcentral
GAAGAACAUAAAGAUAUAAGAUUAACUCAACCGGACACAAAAGCAAAGCUGUUCACCCAAAACACGUUGUGGAAAGAAACAAAAACCCACAACCUACAAGCCAUGGCCACAUGUAAAAAAUGAUGAUUUCUAUUCCACUCUUAUUUCCCAUUAAAGACAUUCCAUGAGGCACCUGCCAUGUGCCGUGUACAAAUUUCCAUCACCCAGCAGGUUAUACAUAGACACCAAAAGCCAGGCGGGCACCAGCAUUAUUCUACUGAUCCU